AUGGCGCCAGCGUCUCUUAUUACACUGCUCGUCAUCCUCUCCGUGGCCUUCGUCGCCCACGCCAGCGACCCGGACAUCCUCACCGACUUCAUCGUGCCCCCGGGCACCAACGCGUCCGUGCUCGACGGCGCCUUCUUCACCUACACCGGCCUCAUCGCCGGCAACUCCGCCGACCCGGCCAAGUUCACCGUGUCCAAGGCCACCACGGCCGAGUUCCCCGCGCUGCUGGGCCAGUCCGUCUCCUACGCCGCCCUCGUCUUCGGCCCCGGCACCGUCAACCCGCCGCACGUCCACCCCAGGGCCUCGGAGCUGCUCUACGUGGUGCAGGGCCCGCUGCUGGUGGGCCUGGUCGACGAGACCAAAAACGAGCUCUAUGCGCAGACGCUGCAGACGGGCGACAUGUUUGUGUUCCCCAAGGGCAUGGUGCACUUCCAGUUCAACGGCGGCGAGCACGUGGCGCGCGCCUUCUCCGCCUUCGGCAGCGCCAGCCCCGGCACCGUCUCGCUGCCCGUAACGCUCUUCGAGUCCGGCAUCCCGGACGCCGUCCUCGAGAAGUCGCUCCACGUCGACGAGGCCACUGUGCAUGCGCUCGAGCACGCCCUCGCGCCGCCCGCUCCUGCUCCCGCUCCCGAUUCCCCACCGGCGCCCAAGAAUGGUGCCGCCUCGCCAGUGCCAGCAUGCCUCUCGCUCCUGGUUGGCUUCGCCGCCGCAUUGUUGCUUUGA
RNAcentral lists this ribosomal RNA (723 nucleotides) under Triticum aestivum (bread wheat). RNAcentral's name for it is "partial small subunit ribosomal RNA". The record is from RNAcentral. Lineage: Eukaryota; Viridiplantae; Streptophyta; Magnoliopsida; Poales; Poaceae.